UGGGGAAUAUUGGACAAUGGGCGAAAGCCUGAUCCAGCCAUGCCGCGUGUGUGAAGAAGGUCUUCGGAUUGUAAAGCACUUUAAGUUGGGAGGAAGGGCAUUAACCUAAUACGUUAGUGUUUUGACGUUACCGACAGAAUAAGCACCGGCUAACUCUGUGCCAGCAGCCGCGGUAAUACAGAGGGUGCAAGCGUUAAUCGGAAUUACUGGGCGUAAAGCGCGCGUAGGUGGUUUGUUAAGUUAGAUGUGAAAUCCCCGGGCUCAACCUGGGAACUGCAUUAAAAACUGACUGACUAGAGUAUGGUAGAGGGUGGUGGAAUUUCCUGUGUAGCGGUGAAAUGCGUAGAUAUAGGAAGGAACACCAGUGGCGAAGGCGACCACCUGGACUAAUACUGACACUGAGGUGCGAAAGCGUGGGGAGCAAACA
RNAcentral lists this ribosomal RNA (427 nucleotides) under uncultured bacterium. RNAcentral describes it as "partial 16S ribosomal RNA". It matches the Rfam family "Bacterial small subunit ribosomal RNA", at positions 355 to 774 of the family's 1533-position model. The record is from RNAcentral.